ACAGGACCUUUUAAUCAGCCAUCUUAAGGCGGGGGUACUGAAGUGGCCUAAAGGUGCUAGCUCUCUGCUGUCAGAGGCUAAGCCAAGCUGCUUUAGGAAGGAAAGUCUGCAAACAGCACAGUAAAAUCAUCACUCAGAUGGAAAUAAGAGACACUGCCAUAAAGAUUCAGAAAAUAAAGCAGAAUGAGAAACCCUGCAACAACAUGUCCUUUAAACAACAGGACUCAUGGCACAGCUGACACUGGGAGAAGAUGUAUGUAGAUUUGACAGGGUGCACUCAAAGAACUGUGGGAGCCGUGGGGCGCUUGUGACAAAUUCUUUUCUGACAGCACCAAAAUUUCAGCUCUGCAGCUCCUAGACACUUGCUUUGACAAACAGGGAGUAGCUGAGUCCCACAGUCACCCCAUUAGUGCCUUUCAGGGCCAGGGCAAGACAGCUGAGAUGCUGUCAGCAUUGGCUGCACUGACACUGCAGGAGGCUGCAGCGGCUUUUCUCCAAUAAUAAGUAUUAAAUUUAAUAGGCAUUAAUCUGCAAUGAAAUGAAUUUCAUUUCUGUCAGGGUUGAAUCUGAGACUAGGAUCACACAGAAUACAGGAAAAAGUGAAAGAAAGAGCAAAGCAGUUUAAACUCUUAACAUCAGUUUGGCUUUUUGUUUCUGAACUAAUACGUGGAUAGAUGGAGAAAUGAGAGAAGGAG
Molecule: long non-coding RNA, 695 nt
Organism: Anas platyrhynchos (mallard)
Lineage: Eukaryota; Metazoa; Chordata; Aves; Anseriformes; Anatidae
Source: RefSeq, a predicted model, not a curated record